CCGUGCCCGCAGGCCGCCCGCCUGGCCGGCCCCCAGGGCCUCUGGGCAGCCGCGCAAGGGGAGCGGGGAGGCGGCUCCGGGCCCCCUGACAGGGUCAGCCUGCCCCUCGGCCGGGCGGGCGGCCCUCGGCGCCCCCGCUGCGAAGCGGGCGAAGGAGCGGGGCGGGAAGGGGCCCGCGGGCGCGCAGGGAAGGGCGGCGGGUGUUCGCCCUCCCGGCUCCCGGGCGCGAAAACCCCAGGAACUUUGUCAAGUGCGGGUUGUUGGUGUGAUUUCGCGUAACACCACCAUAAAGUCCUGCUGUACAGCGAGGUGUUUUCACACGGCCGCGUGACAGGGAAAAAUGUGAACAAGAGGAAGAAGAGGUGUCUGAGCCAGCAGUCUGAGGGCCAAAGGAGUUCGGAGACUGUUAAGCAGACAUCGCAGCAAUUCCUGCUCAGAGACUCAAGCAAGAAUGUGCAGAGUGGGGCUGACCAGUGGCAGAGACCCUUGGUAGGACAAUAUUCAUCAGGGUCCCAUGUCCCUGCAUCAGCAGUGCUCAGGUAACUAAAGAACAGGCAGCAAGACACCCACCCAACCUGGAGGGGAAGAGAACUACCCUUCAGAAACAUCCAAAACCAGGAAAGAUGCUGAAAAACUCUGAUUCUCCUGCACUAUUUAUACUGGCUGGCAGAAUGAGUCACAUUAUGCUACUUUUUAAUAGCUUUCUCACCUUCCUGAAAUGAAUUACAUGCUUGCAGAGCAGUGAUGGUAAACUAGGAUUCAUAGCUAUCAUUAUUAGCUUUGCAACAUCCUUAACAUCAGCGUAGCUAUUUGUAUUCAGUACCCAUGAAUCAGCUGUAAUAUAUUGUGAUAAAUAAUCUGUCCAGAGGGACAUCAGCAUUGCAUCUGAAGAACAGCCCAGACUAAUCCUGUGAAAUCUGCUUUGAUGCAGUCUGCGAAGUUAGGUCUUGUUAUAUUUCUCUGAAUCGGGGAGGUGGCUAUUAUCAGUUGAUUCCUCCUGAUAAAGAAAUUAUUGAGCAGCUUUUUCAGAAGUACAUAAAUGCCUUGGUAUUUGUGAUUUAAAGCUGAUGUUUUUCAGCAACAGUGUGUGACCCCACUCUCUCUAUUAGCUACAUAUACACCAUUACAUUAAAGCCUCACCUAAAGCAAAAGGAACAUACUUGGCCAUGAUGGAGGGUAUUCUUUUGAACACUAUAUUCCAAGAUCUCUCUGUGGUUUUGAAGGUUUCAGCUGAAUCAAUUUUCUGUCACCAGGUUAUGCAAUAGAUUCUGUUUCCAUUACAAAUGAUGUGACAUUAAAAAAAACAUGGGAAGAUGUGAGGGCUUAUGGCAGCACCAAGCUGAAUCUGUAAGGCAACAGCCUGAAACAAUCGCAGGUUACAGAAAAUAGUCCCAGAAGGGACUGCGGGAGGUCAUCUACACAGUCUGCAUGCUGAGGCUCAAUUAAUGCUGUCUGAACUAUUUUGAGAAAUGUUUAUUUAACCUUCUCUUACAAAGUUCCCACAGCAGCGGGGAAAGAUGUGGAUUAAAGCCUUUCACCUACCAGUGAAAGCCAGAAGUGGUAAAGGCCAGAAGUCCUGACCUCAUUGGUGCUGGCCAGACAGCAGAUGUCUGUAGCUUUUCUCUGCUGUUGCAUGGACCUUCAAAUUUUUAUAGAAGGGAGCCACAUUUAAGGUGCAUAAGAAGUCCUUACCUUUAAUUUACUAAAAUUUCUGCUUUGCAAUGGCAGAGCAGUUGUGUUUCUAUAGCACAAAGCUUUGGGAGUACCCUAAAUGCCUCCGUAUGGCAACUUAAAGUAAAUAAGAUUAACAUCCCUGUAGGGAACAGGCAAUGUUCUGAUGGUAACUAGUUUAGUAGUUAAGGUAGUGUGUGCUAGUGGGUAACUCUCCUGACUCUCUCUUCAUGGCUCAGGGGUCUGUUGCUGACUCUGCUAGUGAUCUUCAGGCCUUUUCUCCCUAAGUCCCCUUGUUCCACUCUCCUUCCAUUUUCUAUGUGGAUACUGAGAGUUUAUUCCCUGUAGAACAUUUAGACAGCAGAAGACAGUGAUGCAGAGGGCCCUGAAUGACCUGGGUGACCCACCUAACUUAAAGGCUGGAAGCUGCACAGUCCAAUAGAUCAGCCAUGUAAAAGCACAGACCCCCGCAGACCCAGAGGCAAUAGGUGUCUCCUUUCAGUAGGACUAAUUUAACUUGAGCCCACCAAAGCAUUGUUAGGGCUGUAAAGUGCCCAGGUCCUUGUAUUUCCUGCAACACUGCCAUGCAGAUGUUCUGGCUUAGGAUGGCACCAGCUCAGGGGUCUGAAAGACUCUUUGGCUUACACGCAGAGCUGCCAGGCUAUGAGUGUUGUAGCUGGGAAAGGAAAAUCCUCUUUGCUCCAACUGGAAAAUCAUCUUUAACCCAGUGCCACACACCAGUGUUCCCUGUAUAAGCAUUCCUACUAUUUCAUGCUAAGGCCUUGUACCUUGCCUGAAUAAUAUAUGCUGCCAGUUUAUUAAGAAAUAAGAUCACAUUGUUAAUAAAACUUUUUUCAACCAAACCUCUGGAGUUCACCUACCAAUGAAGAAAGAGCUACAAAAAAGAAAGCUUACAGCCUGUCAAAUAAAAAUUCCACAAAACAGCUUUUAUAUUUAAGGUACAUUUAUGUUUAUUGCUGUAGUAGUACAAAUAACGAUGAUGUGACUUAAUGGGUUGUUAGCACAAUAACGUACUGUGCUUUAAAAGUGACACAAAUUUCUGUCCUCCAUUUGAAUGUCAUCAAUGACUGUGAAUGCAAUGGGAUGUGUUCUUCCAUUAUCUAGCUCUUUGCUUAUUGUCUGAUGAUGAAUUUAGGGUUUUAUGGAUUUCAGAUAUAUUCGUCUGAGUUUAACAGCUUUAAAUGUUGACUUCCUUUUGCCAGCACCUGAUAUAUCAAUACAAUUGGUUGAUACAGGCAUCUCAUACAGUUGAAAAUGACAUUUGGCAGUUUGUGUCAAACAAAUACAUGUGUUCAGUACUCCUUAAAUGCAGAUUUACUCUGUAGAAAUAGUAGCUAAGGGUGUUUAUUAUGAAUCCUAAAAAAAUUGUGUUCAUUUAUUUUAAAAUAAAAUAAAUGCUUAUA
This is a long non-coding RNA of Harpia harpyja (harpy eagle), 3095 nucleotides long. RefSeq lists it as uncharacterized. NCBI's taxonomy places the organism in Eukaryota, Metazoa, Chordata, Aves, Accipitriformes, Accipitridae. The transcript has 3 exons. The record is from RefSeq and is a predicted model, not a curated record.